Molecule: ribosomal RNA, 253 nt
Filed under: uncultured bacterium
Lineage: Bacteria
Description: partial 16S ribosomal RNA
Rfam family: Bacterial small subunit ribosomal RNA
Source: RNAcentral
UACGAAGGGGGCUAGCGUUGUUCGGAAUCACUGGGCGUAAAGGGCGCGUAGGCGGCUUUAUAAGUUAGGGGUGAAAUCCUGGAGCUCAACUCCAGAACUGCCUUUGAUACUGAGGAUCUUGAGUUCGGGAGAGGUGAGUGGAACUGCGAGUGUAGAGGUGAAAUUCGUAGAUAUUCGCAAGAACACCAGUGGCGAAGGCGGCUCACUGGCCCGAUACUGACGCUGAGGCACGAAAGCGUGGGGAGCAAACAGG